This is a long non-coding RNA of Carcharodon carcharias (great white shark), 3253 nucleotides long. RefSeq lists it as uncharacterized. The record is from RefSeq and is a predicted model, not a curated record. Lineage: Eukaryota; Metazoa; Chordata; Chondrichthyes; Lamniformes; Lamnidae. The transcript has 3 exons.
AGGCAGGAAAGUGGAGUUGAAGAUUAUCAGAUCAGCAAUGAUCUUAAUGAAUGGCGGAGUAGACUCAAUGGGCCGAAUGGCCUACUUCUCCUUCCACGUCUUAUGCUCUUAUGUUUAAAAGAUGAAUGCAGGGAACUGAUGGAGGUAUUUAAAAUGAUUAAAGGAUUUACUAGGGUAGAUAGAGAAAAACUAUUCAUGGGCAGUCAGGAGUCACUUCUUCACACAAAAGGGAGCAUAAGUCUGGAUCACAAUCCCCCAAAAAGCUGUCGAUGCUGGGGGUUAAUUGAAAAAUUCAAGGCUGAGAUUGAUUAUUUUUGUUGGGUAAGGGUAUUAAGGGAUACAGAACCGAGGUGGGCAAUUGAAGUUAUGCUACAGGUCACGAUGUAACUGAAUGAUGGAGCAGGCUUGUGGCGCUGGAUGGCCCUCUUCAGUUUCUGUGUAUUUAUGAAGUGACGUUAAGCUUGUGCUUUAAAGCCUGUAGUUUGCAGCCCCAAGGUAAGCCUGGGGGAUGUAAAUAACGCCACAGAUUAAGGUAAAGUGUAGCAAGGAUGGAGUGUGAGCAGGAUGAGGAAAACAGAGCAGCCCAAUAGAUGAGUAUUGGUGCAUCACAACAUGGCAGUGACCAGGAUUCAUAUAUCAGUGUGUUUUAUACUCCUGUGGUGCUCCUAGCACUUUGGGAUAUUUUGCAUUUAAACAGCAUGUUUAAUGUCACAAGUUGCUGUUCAUUGAUUAUAAGCCUUGACAUUAUUAAAAAAUCCUUCAUGUGAAGGCCAGUUCUUGGAACAUGUUCAAUCCUGAGGCACUAACCCAACCCGGUCUCUCUCCUGGUCUGUAGAUCUCGGUUUGUGAUAAGACCCCUUCUGUUCCCCCACUCAUGUGUUUAUUCUCAGGUUGGGCCAUUGGACUCUGAAGGGGGUGUCAGUAAAACCGUUACCAUUACUUGCUUAAGUACUGGUAAGGGUUAUAUUGCUGCUCCCAAACUCAUCUCAGCAGACAGACAGAGGGGAAGGAGCCAGGCGGAAGGAUGUGAGGGGCUGAAUGAUGUGCUGUGGAUUUGUGACUCCUCCAGGAAGGAGGUCCAAAUUCACACAAUGCUAGUGAGUCGAGAAAAGAGAAGAUCAAGUCAUUGCUGCCUACCUUAUUCAGGACCAGAACCGCUGGGAGAUGGGGAUAUUUUGAAAGACAUUUCAAUAAUUCAGUGUGGAGCUUGUUGCGUGUCCAGUGGUCAGAGAUGUCAACUAAAACGAGCACUGGAAGGCAAAACACAACAUUAAGUAUUUUAUCCCUGCUCAGCAGGUGCAGCCACAGUUAAUUGUCUGGACUGGGAUAAAUCUCUCUAGCACUCACCCAGGUCUGCUUCUUUCACUGAAUGCCAGGGGUCAUCCAACAGCGAUUUCUCCAGGUUAUGCCUGGCAGGAAUGGAAUGGUUAACUCAUUGAACAGACUUGUGAAACAGUAAAAUGUGAAAUAAAAGUAUAAAAAUGUGUAGAACCUUUUUGCUUUGACAGCAGGAACGAGACCAGGUGUGUCCAGAAGAAUCUGCAAAGUGAGAGAGAGAGAACAAUCAGUAACAGCAUGAGAAUGAAUGCCAGUCUGCAUCUACAGAGCAUGCUAAAGGGAUUCCAAGCAUCUCACAAGAAAUAUUAAACACCAAGCUGGAGUUCGGAGAAUAGGAGGCAACUAAAUGUCAAGAGAUUUCCAGCAUCCACCAUAUUGUGCCUUUGCUACAAUGGAGGUGUGGGUGAUGUAACACAGCUCCCUGAUCAGUCAACACUACAAUAUUGCUGACUAGAAUAUUUUUUUGAAUAAAACCUCAAGUACACCAACAGCAGGAAAAUAUCCUGGACAAAAUUAGAAGCAUCCAAUCUCUCUUUAAAACUGUAAACUGGGUUUACCUUUCUGCCCAGAAGCUGGUUGGACAGGGUGGAUUUACCAGCAUUCGGAGCCCCAAUGAUGGCGACUCUCAGCACUCGUGAGUUUUCAGGCUGAUCUGGCUGAUGGAGGAGGAGGUUGUCCUGCUCAGCUGGGACACAGGAAUACAACUUCAAUCAUUAAGGAAACUGAAUCAUGUGAGCAAAGAGCUGAACCAAGGCAGAGCCAAGAAUACACAGUGAAUGUCUGAUGAGAAGUUGGUUAGAUCCACCUGGAACAUCUGCAUUCAGUUCUGGGCAGUGCACCCCAGAAAUAUCACACUGGACUCAGAUAGGGUAAAGCACAUAUUAACCACAGUUAUACCAGGGGUUAGAGGGUUAAAUUAUGAGGAUAAGUUCAUAGACCAGACUUAUAUUCCCUUGAGCUGAGAAAGUUAAAAGGUGAUGUAAUUGAGGUGUUUAAAAUAAGAACAGACUGUAAAUGUUGGGUGCAAAUUGGAACUUUCAAGAAUGAGAUCAAUACAUUUUUGUUGGGCAAGUGUAUCACAGGAUAUGGAGAAAAGAUGGGGAAAUGGACUUGAAGUAAAUGUCAGCCAUUAUAUAACUAAAUGUGGAACAGGUUCAUAGGGCUGAAUGGCUUCCUCCUAGUCCUAGGUGCAAUCGCACAGCACCAACAUCACGUGACACUAUUUAAAAAACAACCUGUAACUGAUAAGAAUGUGAAAGAUUCUUCAGUGUCUCAAAAUAUUUCAACCCCCAAUUACAUUAAAUUUCUCCCUCCCCCAUGAGUUUUUGUGCUUGACAUGAUGAGGGGCAGCAGCCUCAGGAAAAAUGACCGAGUUUCAGAAACCCAGUAGAGGCACAACUGCUCCCAAAGCAGGUUCAGCAUGUUGGAGUCAAAGUAAAAAAGCUCCCUUUACAAUAUCCCAUCAGAGUCUCAGACCCAGUCACAUAUGAAAACCUCUCGUGCUGCAGUGUGAACUUUCUGCUUAGCACGCAGCCAAGUAAAGGUCUUUUCUAAGCAAGAUGCCAAUUUGUACAUAAUUAUGAGCAGUGUUGUGCAAACUAGUUUCACGCAUGUUCUCAAGUCCUGAUCAGUGUACAAGAUUGGGAAAAGGCCCUGCUAUGCAUCAGGCUGAUCUCAAUCUGAAACUGAUUACUCUCCCUCUCAGGUUCUUUAAAAUAUUAAUUUACACUGAUUCCUAUCCCACAGACCAUGGGAGUUUGCAGCAGUCAAAAAAUUGGAAAUCAUGGUACACCCAAAGUCAAAAAAUUGCUCGGAGAAAAAGUCUUCAGAUUCGAUGAUUAUGGAAAAAUAUUUGAAGGUCAGCCAACUUUAAAAGGAAUCCCAGUGCAAGUAAGAGAACCCACCUUUAGUCACA